Long non-coding RNA from Poecile atricapillus (Black-capped chickadee), 795 nucleotides. RefSeq lists it as uncharacterized. Lineage: Eukaryota; Metazoa; Chordata; Aves; Passeriformes; Paridae. The transcript is spliced from 4 exons. The record is from RefSeq and is a predicted model, not a curated record.
GCAGAGAUGGGUAGGGGGCUGUGGCCCUCAGAUUCUCGGGCAUCCGUCUUGGCAGUUGCUGGAGUUUGUCAUUCCAUCAGCAUCUUCUUCCUCCCGGGUUCUGCGAGCUUCAUCAGCUCGCCUUCAUUCUCACCCGGCUCAUCUCGUUCCGCAUUCUCUCGGUCCUUGCGGCCGUUCUUGUGGCCCAGAGUUUUGUCUCCCCGUUGUGUCCCCUCGUCUGUUGUCUUGUGUGUCACGGGUGUCUGGGUGUAGUUGUCCCGGAGCUGCUCUGUCCUGCUGCCCAGCCUGGGUGUAGGUGUAAAAGGCCGAGUCCUAGGCCCCUGUAAUUUGAAAUUUGUCAUGUAGGGUAUAGUUGGAGUCUAGCGGGUGUUCCUAGAUUGACACAAGAUGUGUGGCGCUGUGAAGUUACCCUGCAGCACUUUGACUUUUGUCUCAGCUUUCUUUCAGAUGCGGACGGAUGAAAUCGGUGGCAGAGCGCCCCAUCCAGGGUAAGGGGGUUCCCCCGAGAAGGAAGUGAAGCCGGCUAGCAGCAGUCAAGGCGAAGUGGGCAAGGCGGUCCAGUCGCAUUUCGCCGACACGUCCUCGCCAACCAACCGGCACGCCUGCUUCACCUCUCCCGUGAGCCCUGCGGAAACAUUACGGGACCGUGUGACGGAGCCUUUUCCACGUAAAGGGGCCGUGUGGGUGGCCUUCAGGAACGGGCCGAGGGGUUGCCGCGCGCCCUGCGAUGACGGCGUCCGGCUCCCGGUGUGGCCGAAGCGCGUGGCCUCAGGACGUGGCCGUGCUCAGGAGACC